CCCAGAGCAGGGAGUGCUCAGCUGCAGUGUGCACUACCACACCAGUGACUGCCUGGCUCUCUCGCUCUUUAUAUUUCUCUGCUGCACCGGGAGCUGCCGUGGUGGUGGUGCUCCUGUCUGAAUGGCCGCGGUUGGAGUCUGGGCCGAGGCUCCGGGCUGUGGAUGUCACUGCUAUCUUCCAGUCCUGCAGUUGGGCCUGCUGACAGCCAGCUGUUGAAGGUGUGUCUAACAGAGCGAUUGGGAAGCAGCAGCAGCAGCAGCAGCCCUGGGACCAGUCAGAGCUUGGUUUGAGUGACAGUCCCCUCAUCUAAUGACUGAACGUGAGCGCUCUCACUGCCUCAGAUGGGCCCACAGUCAGAGAUGUGAUCGCCGGGGUGGCAUCCCAACAUGUGAAGGAGCGGCGGCGGGAGGGAGAUGGAUGGUCAGGACUCGGCGGUGCACCAGGUCCACCUGCAGUAGCUGAAGACUCCACUGACAGCCCAGCAGGGGACAGUGAGGGCGUUGGCUUUCACACCUCAGUUCAGGUUUGGGCCUGAAAGACGUGCCAGACCUGCUGCCAAAGCAUCGGCCUCCACCUCACCCUGCAGACAUGGCUGAACACACACACACACACACACACACACACACACACACACACACACACGCAUGCAUACACACACAAACACGCACACACACACUGUAAAAAAAACAUUGCAUAUCUCUCAUAGGUGUUUUUAAGCAUGUGAGCAUGCUUUACUUCCUCAUAUUUCUAUACAUUCACCAUGCAUAGAUGCCCAAGCCCCUUUCCUGUGCGCACACACACACACACACACACACAGACAAACAUUCCUGCCAUCUCUGCAUCUCUGUCUCUGAUGAUUGAGUCGUCACACACUCUCAUGCUUCAUGUCAGACCUAGACGCGUUCAGAGCCACAUUCACACGGUCUCCCUCGACGCAAACAUAAACACACGCAUGCGUUCGGUUUGUCAGUUGUCUCUCAGGCAUGCCCUAUUUUUAAAACUGUGAGCACACCUACGCACAUUCUCCCAUGCUUAUGGGCACACCCACUGCGGCCCCUGUCAGACCGUCCUCGGCUCAGAGAACACACUGCACAGUUGUAAGGCAGGGAAAAUUAGUCAGGUGAAGUAAAUCUCGACACCCGACACUAGUGGUCUCUCUUUAAAGUUGUUUGCGCCACCGCCCCCAUACUUAAUGGAACAGCACCUACUGAUUAUUGCAUGCUCUGAGCUAGUCUGGUAAUUGCACAGUACAUACCUGUCCAGGGUGUAAGCCCAUCCGCUGAACACGGGGCCCCUCUGGUACACGGCUCACAGUGUUGUCGUAACCGAGUGAGGGAGCCUCCUAUCUGUCAUUCAGUAUCAGUCAAUGUCAGUGUGCAUCCCCACUCUGUGAUGCAUGUGUCCCAUUGAUCAAUUCAUAGAAAGGUGUGCAUGUUCAAUCAGCUAAUGUUAAUAAAGUUCCAUCUUAAAAAAAAAACAAGAAAGAUGUCACGCAGGAUGAGAAUCAGCCCUUCAACAUUUAAGCCCUGAUGGUUUUCAACAGCCACUUGACAUGUGAAUCAGUGCACGUUCCUUAAACCUGCGGUUGUUUUCAUGACAUCUGAAUGAGUCAGACUGUGUGUUAUGUUUUUAGCUGAUGGCGAUGCCUGUGGUAGUAGAGCGUAGUCUGCAACCACAGACACAUUGUAAAUAUCACAUCAGAGGAUUCUUUUGUAGUUAUUUUGGGUGGUUUGUUUGACCAACAUCAGCCUCUCUCUUAACUUUAAAUCAGAGACACUGCUUAUCUUAAUGUCCCGUAAGAUUCAGAUCAGUAGGCGGUUUUGGCUGCCUUUGCUCAUCAUACAAACCUGCUCUAAAACACCCACUCUUGCUUUAUUUGUGCAUGUGUUUUUGCUUGCAGCAUUUGGCUUUUCACUUUCUUGUAACCAUUAUACCAAAUUAUUACCGAUAAACUAUUCAGCAGCUUGGUAAGAUGCAGGAAGCACCUUAAUGAGGAAGUGUGUGCAAAGGAGAAUUAUUUAUCGGCACGACUGGAAAAAAUAGGAAAGACAGGACGAGAGGGCUAGAAGUGAAUGAAGGCUCACAGAGAGAUCAAACUGUCUAAUUUCAGGGCAUUUACCAGCUUGUUCCUGGGAGAAGCAAACUGGAAUGAGGAGUGGCUACAGAAGUUUGUCACACAAGUUCUGUCUGAAAACACACUGAAUGCACUCUUCAUAUUCAAUAUUCAACCAUAUGAGAGUGCAUACCGUACAUUUAGAUGCAAACCAUGGCAACAUACUGAUGCCAAAAUGCUAAUAAUGCUGGUUAAAUAGCUUGUAUGUUGCACUGUAUUACUGCUUUGUAAUUCACCACACAUGCACAGAUAGGAAUGUAUGUGACAUCCUCACAUCUACCUCCCUUUAUCAUUAUCUGCCGGAAAUAAACAUACAUAAAGAAUAUAACAAGAAUCACUAUUAUUUUAUUGUUUGCAAUAAAAGAUAUGUGCAUUAUUGAAUUUUAAUGUGAAUUAAUUAUGACAUAAAAGUUUUGACAUUGUGGAUUUUGGGUAUAGAGAAAAGAUCAUAAUC
Chelmon rostratus (copperband butterflyfish) is the source of this 2568-nucleotide long non-coding RNA. RefSeq lists it as uncharacterized. The transcript has 4 exons. Lineage: Eukaryota; Metazoa; Chordata; Actinopteri; Chaetodontiformes; Chaetodontidae. The record is from RefSeq and is a predicted model, not a curated record.